This 522-nucleotide ribosomal RNA is filed under the name uncultured bacterium. RNAcentral describes it as "bacterial SSU rRNA". It matches the Rfam family "Bacterial small subunit ribosomal RNA", at positions 987 to 1509 of the family's 1533-position model. The record is from RNAcentral.
UCCAGCGAACUUGGCAGAGAUGCCUUGGUGCCUUCGGGAACGCUGAGACAGGUGCUGCAUGGCUGUCGUCAGCUCGUGUUGUGAAAUGUUGGGUUAAGUCCCGCAACGAGCGCAACCCUUAUCCUUUGUUGCCAGCGAUUCGGUCGGGAACUCAAAGGAGACUGCCGGUGAUAAACCGGAGGAAGGUGGGGAUGACGUCAAGUCAUCAUGGCCCUUACGAGUAGGGCUACACACGUGCUACAAUGGCGCAUACAAAGAGAAGCGACCUCGCGAGAGCAAGCGGACCUCAUAAAGUGCGUCGUAGUCCGGAUCGGAGUCUGCAACUCGACUCCGUGAAGUCGGAAUCGCUAGUAAUCGUGGAUCAGAAUGCCACGGUGAAUACGUUCCCGGGCCUUGUACACACCGCCCGUCACACCAUGGGAGUGGGUUGCAAAAGAAGUAGGUAGCUUAACCCUCGGGAGGGCGCUUACCACUUUGUGAUUCAUGACUGGGGUGAAGUCGUAACAAGGUAAGCGUAGCGAG